This is a long non-coding RNA of Oreochromis aureus, 762 nucleotides long. The record is from Ensembl. Lineage: Eukaryota; Metazoa; Chordata; Actinopteri; Cichliformes; Cichlidae.
GUAUUUUUGAAAACGGAGAUUUUUCUAUGCGUUUGCACCUUUCGUCCACACGUAAACGGCGUUUUCGGUCACUGAAAACGGAGAUUUUUAAAAACGCCUGCCAGGGUGGAUAUUUCCGAAAACUCCGUUUUUGCAUUUACGUGUGGACGAGAAAAACGGAGAAAACGCAGCGUCAAAGGUGUGCGCCUUUUUUGACGUCACACUGUGCGCCACGUUAUUGUUUCGGUGAAAUGAAUUUCUACAAUACUGUUAAUUGUACUCUCUGCAGUGUUUAAAUGCUUACAUAUACACACACAGUUACUGUCCCUCCACACAGAGGACUCGGUUCUGCUUCUAUGCCCCAUCUUUGUUUACUAUUUCCUACCGAGGCUUCUAGACUUCUGAUUGGCCAACAUUUCUACAUGGUUAGGAAUAUAUCGCCACCUGUUGCGUUGGCAUGUUCCUAGCAGCGUUUUCCUUCAUUUCUGCGUUUACGUGUGGACGGGAUUAUUUUUUAAAACGAAAACGGAAAAUCUCCGUGUACGUGUGGACGUAGCCUUGAUAUGCCCAACUAUAUACCAGGAUUAACUGCGAGUGAAAGGUUGAAGAAAAGUGGUGGACGGUCGAAGUGAGGCGGUCCAGAAAUCUUCAAAAUAUGAGUCAGAGUGCUCUGUCAUGUGGAUGGUAAAGUUUUCCAAGGCCUAACAAGAAGAAAGUUUCCAUCGAAUGAAACUAAAAACUGAAAAUAAAUAGAGGAGCGCUCGGACCUUCCUCGGCAGCGCC